UACAGAGGUCUCAAGCGUUGUUCGGAUUCAUUGGGCGUAAAGGGUGCGUAGGUGGCGGGGUAAGUCAGGUGUGAAAUCUCGGGGCUCAACUCCGAAACUGCACUUGAUACUGCCUUGCUCGAGUACUGGAGAGGAGAUUGGAAUUUACGGUGUAGCAGUGAAAUGCGUAGAUAUCGUAAGGAAGACCAGUGGCGAAGGCGGGUCUCUGGACAGUUCCUGACGCUGAGGCACGAAGGCCAGGGGAGCAAACGGG
This 253-nucleotide ribosomal RNA is filed under the name uncultured bacterium. RNAcentral's name for it is "partial 16S ribosomal RNA". It matches the Rfam family "Bacterial small subunit ribosomal RNA", at positions 524 to 776 of the family's 1533-position model. The record is from RNAcentral.